This 2478-nucleotide unclassified non-coding RNA is filed under the name Hevea brasiliensis (rubber tree). The record is from RNAcentral. Lineage: Eukaryota; Viridiplantae; Streptophyta; Magnoliopsida; Malpighiales; Euphorbiaceae.
GAAAUAAACUACAAUUCACACGAAGAGGCUGUAAAGUUGAACCAAAUUAGCUCAAAAACAGAGAAGCACAUGUCCAUAAAAAUUAGCAAACCGAGAUUAAAUAAUCUGCAGCAAAGAUAUAAAAGUAAUCUCAACAAUGAAAUUACAGGCUUGCUCAAUAUAAAAUGGAAACAACUAAAAAUGCAAAAACACACUCUAAGAAAAAGAGAAAAGCUAGAAUGGAUUAAAUGCAGCAAAAUACAUUCCAUUCAAUUGCAAUAUCCAAAAAUAAUGAUCUGCAAUCAUUAACCAAAGCUAUGCAUAUAAACAUUCACAAAUCCAUUCACAACUGAAAAACCAAUAACUAAAAUUGUUCUAGAAACUAAGAAACAAUAGUUCAUACACAAAUAGAAUAAGAAAAGCCUAAAAAUUAUGGACUUGCAGCAGUUUGGUUUCCUAGUUGGCUGGGGCCUGCUGCAGCUUGCUCAAAGGCUUCAGAGGUAGUCUCCAAGUUAUCAAACAGCUCCUUGAGGUCCCUAAAUUGCUAUGCCAUCCAAUUAACACCAUUUUUGUAGGUCUUUUCAAGUCUCUCUGUCUGCACAAAAAGCAAUUUUAUCUCCAACUUUUGCGUCUUCUUCAGAGCCUUCAACUUCUUCAUCUUUGCUUCAUGUUUCUACUGUUUUGCUCCAAAUUCAUCCAGUUUAGCAUCCAUGGACUUCAAGACUGUCAGAAUAUCAUUAAAAGAUUGCUAGCUAUGCUUUGCAGACUUAGUGUGCUAUGAUCUCUCUUCCAAAGCUGCAAUUUGGGCUUCAAUGUUUUUCAGGGUGGAAAGAAUGGUGGCAAUAGAGGCUGCUAGUUGCUAUGAAUUACCAGCAUAUUGGUGUUCUAUCUGAGAUUCAUAAGGCUGGAAUGUAUCUGUCUCUAGUCUACGGUUGCUGUCAAGGUUAGCAAGGAUAAAGGUAGACCCUUUCUUCUUAAGAAUGCCCAUAUUAAACAAAAUUACCUUAUCAAUAUAAGAAUUUCCUGAAACUGACUGUAAUUUAUGUUCCUUAGGAGAAAAAUCAAAGGCUUUUGCAAUUGCAGUGAUAAGGCCCCUAAAUACUAUGCUACCUGACCUAGCCUCCGAGACAGAUUGUUCAAAACGUGAACAUAAGAUAUAUACUCCAUUCACUUUCUUCCCAUUUUUCAUGCACCAUAGCAAAAAAUAAGUCAUUUACUCUAACUACCCCAUUAAUGUGGCCUCUACCUAAAAUGGUAUAUGAGAAAAACCUAUGUAACAGUCUCAAGGCAGGGUCCAUAAUUUUAGAAGCUUUAGAGGCACUAGGGUUAUAGUAAUCUCCAUAUGGGGCAAUUAAUUUCCAAAACCCAAAUUUAUAAUAAAAAGCUCUUUCCUAUUCUACUUGAAAGCAACCCUCGUUACGAAACCCAAAUAUGGCAUUCAUAGUAGUCAUGUCAAGCUCUCUCUCAACUCCCAUACAUCUAAACUUAAUGCAAUCAGUAGGGGCUAUUUUGCUAGGCUGAAAAUUAACAUGUAAAGAAUUAAGAAACUCGAAAGUAAUCUUAGCAUAGAUAGGUUCCCUAGUACUAGCAAACUCAGUCCAACAUAGGGCAUCUAGACAUGCAUAAAAAGGUUCAUAAAACCUAAUUUCUCUUAACGACUCAUCAUCUAGGUACUUAGUGCUAACAAUGCUCAUAGAGGUAAAUUUUUCAUAAUUUUUCUUCAUUUGUAAAUUUCCAUAACCCUAAGGUAAAUCAAAUUAUACCUCCUCCAUGUCAUCAGUACCAAUAGAUGGUUGUAAGCUAGGUGGAAUAGACCUUGCUGGAGCAGCCCUAUGUGUAGGAGCUUUGGUUCUAGAUUUUACAACUGGAGGUAGAGGACUGGUCUCCCUAGAAGAAGCAGCCGAUGCUCUAGAAUGAGAAACUGGGGUUCGAGGAGAACCUAAUGGUCUAGUAGCAGAGGACCUAGUCCUUUUACUACCAAGUUCUACACAAGAAACCCUAGGUUUCUUUGACUUAGCAAUAAGGGGUGAAACAGGGGUUUUGUGCUUGCUAGAGGAAGAAGAAGGUGUUUUUGAUUUGGCAUAGGGGUUCACUUUCUUCUUUGCCACUGACUUAAAAAAAGGUUUUGUAAACCAAGGUUAUAGUGGGUGGAGAAAGAAUUGGGAGGUUCAAUGUUAGGGUUCGAGUCUUAUUAUGGCUCAGUGGUUUGCUGUAGAGGGAUUAUUGGGCUCUUUGGUGAAUGAGGUGUUGAGGAUGCUUGAGAAGUUUGUGAAUUAGGAGUAGCUUCAACAAAAUUUGGUGGGGAUGGAGAGCGAGAAGUAUUUUCUGCCAUUGAAGUUUGCUUGCGACGAGAAGGGGGAAUAGGGAUUCGGACCGAACAAUGUUUGAUUUUGACCAUUCAAGAAAAGAAAAUGGGAAAAGGAGAGUGUUAUGGCAUCGUGAAAUUAAAGGAAAAAUGUAUCAGUUUGUGUUGGAGUCGAGAAAAAAGAGAAGUAGAAG